Molecule: long non-coding RNA, 5505 nt
Organism: Gallus gallus (chicken)
Lineage: Eukaryota; Metazoa; Chordata; Aves; Galliformes; Phasianidae
Source: Ensembl
GGGUGAUUUACCCUUAAAUGCGGGGUUUUUGAGGAGAAAAUGCGUGAUUUUCCAAAUAAUUGUGGAUUUUUAAAGAGAAAAUGGGUGAUUUUCGGAUUAAAUGGUAGAAUUUAGAAGAGAAAAUGGGUGAUUUUCUAGUUAAAUGGGGGAUUUUCGAAGAGAAAACAGGUGAUUUUCGCUUAAAUGCGUGAUUUUUUAGCUAAAUGUUGGAUAUUCAACGAGAAAAUGCAUGAUUUACCCUUAAAUGGGGGAUUUUUGAGGAGAAAAUGUGUGAUUUUGGGGUAAAAUGGGAAGUUUUCGAAGAGAAAAGGGGUGAUUUUCACUUAAAUGGGGGAUUUUUGAAGAGAAAAGGGGUGAUUUUCACUUAAAGGUGGGAUUUUCGAAGAGAAAUGCGUGAUUUUGGGGUAAAAUGGGAAAUUUUCAAAGAGAAAACGGGUGAUUUCUGCUUAAAUGCGAGAUUUUUUAGCUAAAUGUUGGAUUUUCGAACAGAAAAUGCAUGAUUUACCCUUAAAUGGGGGGUUUUUGAGGAGAAAAUGCGUGAUUUUCCAAAUAAUUGGUGAUUUUUGAAGGGAAAAUGGGUGAUUUUCGGGUUAAAUGGGGGAUUUUCGAAGAGAAAACAAGUGAUUUUCGCUUAAAUGUGUGAUUUUUUGGAUAAUUGGGGGAUUUUCGAAGUGAAAAUGCAUGAUUUACCCUUAAAUGGGGGAUUUUUGAGGAGAAAAUGCGUGAUUUUGGGGUAAAAAGGGGGAUUUUCGAGGAGAAAAGGGGUGAUUUUUGGGUUAAAUGGGGGAUUUUUGAAAAGAAAAGGGUUGAUUUUCACUUAAAUGUCGGAUUUUCGAAGAGAAAAUGGGUGAUUUUGGGGUAAAAUGGCGGAUUUUCGAAGAGAAAAUGCGUGAUUUUUGCUUAAAUGCAUGAUUUUUUUGUUAAAUGGGGGAUUUUUGAGGAGAAAAUGCAUGAUUUACCCUUAAAUGGGGGGUUUUUGAGGAGAAAAUGCGUGAUUUUCCAAAUAAUUGGGGAUUUUUGAAGGGAAAAUGGGUGAUUUUCGGAUUAAAUGCGGGAAUUUUGAAGAGAAAAUGGGUGAUUUUGGGGUUAAAUGGGAGAUUUUUGAAGAGAGAACGGGUGAUUUUCGCUUAAACGCGUGAUUUUUUAGCUAAAUGUUGGAUUUUCGAAGAGAAAAUGCAUGAUUUACCCUUAAAUGGGGGAUUUUCGAGGAGAAAAUGGGUGAUUUUUGGGUUAAAUGGGGGAUUUUUGAAAAGAAAAGGGGUGAUUUUCACUUAAAUGUCGGAUUUUCGAAGAGAAAAUGGGUGAUUUUGGGGUAAAAUGGCGGAUUUUCGAAGAGAAAAUGCGUGAUUUUUGCUUAAAUGCAUGAUUUUUUUGUUACAUGGGGGAUUUUUGAGGAGAAAAUGCAUGAUUUACCCUUAAAUGGGGGGUUUUUGAGGAGAAAAUGCGUGAUUUUCCAAAUAAUUGGGGAUUUUUGAAGGGAAAAUGGGUGAUUUUCGGAUUAAAUGUGGGAAUUUUGAAGAGAAAAUGGGUGAUUUUGGGGUUAAAUGGGAGAUUUUCAAAGAGAAAACGGGUGAUUUUUGCUUAAAUGCGUGAUUUUUUAGCUAAAUGUUGGAUUUUCGGAGAGAAAAUGCAUGAUUUACCCUUAAAUGGGGGAUUUUCGAGGAGAAAAUGUGUGAUUUGGGGGUAAAAUGGGAGGUUUUCGAAGAGAAAAUGCGUGAUUUUCGGCUUAAAUGUAUGAUCUUUUUUGUUAAAUGUGGGAUUUUUGAGGAGAAAAUGCAUGAUUUACCCUUAAAUGGGGGGUUUUUGAGGAGCAAAUGUGUGAUUGUCCAAAUAAUUGGAGAUUUUUGAAGGGGAAAUGGGUGAUUUUCGGGUUAAAUGUGGGAAUUUUGAAGAGAAAAUGGGUGAUUUUCUAGUUAAAUGGUGGAUUUUUGAAGAGAGAACGGGUGAUUUUCGCUUAAACGCGUGAUUUUUUAGCUAAAUGUUGGAUUUUCGAAGAGAAAAUGCAUGAUUUACCCUUAAAUGGGGGAUUUUCGAGGAGAAAAUGUGUGAUUUUGGGGUAAAAUGGGAGGUUUUCGAAGAGAAAAUGGGUGAUUUUCACUUAAAUGGGGGAUUUUUGAAGAGAAAAGGGGUGAUUUUCACUUAAAGGUGGGAUUUUCGAAGAGAAAUGCGUGAUUUUGGGGUAAAAUGGGAAAUUUUCAAAGAGAAAACGGGUGAUUUCUGCUUAAAUGCGAGAUUUUUUAGCUAAAUGUUGGAUUUUCGAACAGAAAAUGCAUGAUUUACCCUUAAAUGGGGGGUUUUUGAGGAGAAAAUGCGUGAUUUUCCAAAUAAUUGGUGAUUUUUGAAGGGAAAAUGGGUGAUUUUCGGGUUAAAUGGGGGAUUUUCGAAGAGAAAACAAGUGAUUUUCGCUUAAAUGUGUGAUUUUUUGGAUAAUUGGGGGAUUUUCGAAGUGAAAAUGCAUGAUUUACCCUUAAAUGGGGGAUUUUUGAGGAGAAAAUGCGUGAUUUUGGGGUAAAAAGGGGGAUUUUCGAGGAGAAAAGGGGUGAUUUUUGGGUUAAAUGGGGGAUUUUUGAAAAGAAAAGGGUUGAUUUUCACUUAAAUGUCGGAUUUUCGAAGAGAAAAUGGGUGAUUUUGGGGUAAAAUGGCGGAUUUUCGAAGAGAAAAUGCGUGAUUUUUGCUUAAAUGCAUGAUUUUUUUGUUAAAUGGGGGAUUUUUGAGGAGAAAAUGCAUGAUUUACCCUUAAAUGGGGGGUUUUUGAGGAGAAAAUGCGUGAUUUUCCAAAUAAUUGGGGAUUUUUGAAGGGAAAAUGGGUGAUUUUCGGAUUAAAUGCGGGAAUUUUGAAGAGAAAAUGGGUGAUUUUGGGGUUAAAUGGGAGAUUUUUGAAGAGAGAACGGGUGAUUUUCGCUUAAACGCGUGAUUUUUUAGCUAAAUGUUGGAUUUUCGAAGAGAAAAUGCAUGAUUUACCCUUAAAUGGGGGAUUUUCGAGGAGAAAAUGUGUGAUUUUGGGGUAAAAUGGGAGGUUUUCGAAGAGAAAAUGCGUGAUUUUCGGCUUAAAUGUAUGAUCUUUUUUGUUAAAUGUGGGAUUUUUGAGGAGAAAAUGCAUGAUUUACCCUUAAAUGGGGGGUUUUUGAGGAGCAAAUGUGUGAUUGUCCAAAUAAUUGGAGAUUUUUGAAGGGGAAAUGGGUGAUUUUCGGGUUAAAUGUGGGAAUUUUGAAGAGAAAAUGGGUGAUUUUCUAGUUAAAUGGUGGAUUUUUGAAGAGAGAACGGGUGAUUUUCGCUUAAACGCGUGAUUUUUUAGCUAAAUGUUGGAUUUUCGAAGAGAAAAUGCAUGAUUUACCCUUAAAUGGGGGAUUUUCGAGGAGAAAAUGUGUGAUUUUGGGGUAAAAUGGGAGAUUUUUGAAGAGAAAACAGGUGAUUUUCGCUUAAAUGCGUGAUUUUUUAGCUAAAUGUUGGAUUUUUGAAGAGAAAAUGCAUGAUUUACCCUUAAAUGGGGGAUUUUCGAGGAGAAAAUGCGUGAUAUUUGCUUAAAUGGGGCAUUUUCGAAGAGAAAAUGCGUGAUUUUUGCUUAAAUGCAUGAUUUUUUUGUUAAAUGGGGGAUUUUUGAGGAGAAAAUGCAUGAUUUACCCUUAAAUGGGGGAUUUUCAAGGAGAAAAUGCGUGAUUUUCCAAAUAAUUGGAGAUUUUUGAAGGGAAAAUGGGUGAUUUUCGGAUUAAAUGGGGGAAUUUUGAAGAGAAAAUGGGUGAUUUUCGGGUUAAAUGGGGGAUUUUUGAAGAGAAAACGGGUGAUUUUUGCUUACAUGUCUGAUUUUUUAGCUAAAUGUUGGAUUUUCGAAGAGAAAAUGCAUGAUUUACCCUUAAAUGGGGGGAUUUUCGUGGAGAAAAUGGGUGAUUUUUGGGUUAAAUGGGGCAUUUUUGAAGAGAAAAUGGGUGAUUUUCGAGAUAAAUCAAGGAUUUUUGAAGAGAAAAUGCAUGAUUUACCCUUAAAUGUUGGAUUUUCAAGGUGAAAGUGCGUGAUUUUCAAAAUAAAUGAGUGAUUUUUGAAGGGAAAAUGGUUGAUUUUUGGGUUAAAUGGGGGAUUUUGAAGAGAAAAUGGGUGAUUUUCGGGUUAAAUGGGGGAUUUUCGAAGAGAAAGUGGGUGAUUAUCGAGAUAAAUCAAGGAUUUUUGAAAAGAACAUGCAUGAUUUACCCUUAAAUGGGGGAUUUUCUAGGAGAAAAUGCGUGAUUUUCAACAUAAAUGCACGAUUUUUGAAGGGAAAAUUGGCGAUUUUUGGUUUUAAUUGGGGAGUUUUGAAGAGAAAAAGGGCGAUUUUCAUUUAAAUGGGCGAUUUUCGAAGAGUAGAUUUGUGAUUUUCGUUUAAAUGGGGGAUUUUCAAAGGGAAAAUGCAUGAUUUACGGGUUAAAUUGGGGAUUUUUGAAGAGAUAAUUCGUGAUUUAAAUUUAAAUGGGGGAUUUCCGAAGAGAAAAUGCCAGAUUUUUGAGUUAAAUGGGGGGAUUUUCCAAGCGAAAAUUUGUGUUUUUCACGUUAAAUUGGGGAUUUUGGGAUUUAAAAUGUGUGAUUUUCGCUUUAAGUGGGUGAUUAAGUGGGUGAUAAGGAGAAAAAUGGUCAUUUUUGGGUUAAAUGGGGAAUUUUUGAAGAGAAAAUCGGCAAUUUUCGCUUAAAUAGGGGAUUUUCAAAGCGCAAAUGUGUGUCUUUCAGAAUAAAUUUGGGAUUUUCAAAUCAAAAAUGGAUGGUUUUCCCUUAAAUUUGGAUUUUCAAAGGGAAAAUGCAUGAUUUUCGGGUUAUAUGGGGGAUUUUCGAAGACAAAAUACGUGUUUUUCGGGUUAAAUGGGUAUUUUCGAAGAGAAAAUGUGUGAUUUUCGGGUUAAAUGGGAGAUUUUUGAAGAGAGAAGGAGUGAUUUUUGGGUUAAUUGUGGGAUUUUUGAAGAGGAAAUUCAUGACUUUCGGAUUAAAUGGGGUAUUUUCAAAGGGAAAAUGCAUGAUUUCCCGUUUAAAUGUUGGAUUUUCAAAGAGAAAUUGGGUGAUUUUCGGGUUAAAUUGGGGAUUUUCAAAGGGAAAAUGCAUUUUUUUUCGGGUUAAAUGGGGCUUUUACGUAGAGAAAAUGCAUGUUUUUCAAGUUAAAUGGGGGAUUGUCGAAGAGAAGAUUUGUUUUUUUUUAGGGGGGUUAAAUAAGGGAUUUUUGUAGAGAAAAUUCUUGAUUUGGGGGUUGAAUGAGGGAUUUUCGAAGAGAAAAUGCGUGAAUUUCAGGUUAGAUGUGGGAUUUUCAAAGAAAAUAUGCGUCAUUUUCAGGUUAAAUGGGGGAUUGUCGAAGAGAAAAUUUACUAUUUUCAGUUAAAUGUUUUUUUUUUUUUUUUUUUUUUGUAGAGAACAUGCAUAGUUUUCAAUGUUAAAUGGGGGUUUUUCGAAGACGAAAAAAGGAAAGAUGAUAUUUUCAGGUUAAAGUGCAAAUUUUUUGAAGAGGAAUUUCAUGAUUUUCUUGUGAAAUGGGGGAUUUUUGACAGUACAUGUUUC